CGCAUUAGAUUGUAAAAAAUAGUAUAGUAUUACAAAUUCAUCACAUCUUCUACUAAUUACUCCAAUAAGGUUUUGUUUUUUAUUCUUUUUAUAGAUACAGUUCGGCGAAGGUUUUGAUCUCAGUUUUAUUGCAAAAUUCUUUAUAUUGAUAAGAUUUUUGCUGGUAAAAUGAGUGAUUUGAACGAUGUGAAUUUUGUGAAAUGCGAUUGCUGCUGCCUUUCUGAAGAAUGCACCCGUUGUUACAUCACCACAAUUAGAGAAAUGUACGGAGGGAAAUGGAUUUGCGGGCUUUGUGCGGAGGCCGUGAAAGACGAAGUGCUGCGGUGCGGGAACCCGGACGAAGCCAUGGCCCGCCAUCUCACCUUCUGCACCAACUUUCGGGCCUCCGGGCCCCCGCAGGUGCGCUUGAUUCGGGCCAUGACGCAGUUGCUUAGGAAGUCCUCCAAAUCAAUGCCGAGUAGCCCCCGCGAUGCCACUGUGUUGACUCGCUCCGAGAGUUGUUUGCCGAGUUUAACCCUCGACGACGCAAGCCCGUGACUGAUGAUCAAGGGUAAAAUUGUAAAUUUUUUAUGUUCAAUAAUAACUGUAAAGGAUAUAUUGUUUUGGAUUGAAAAAUGAGACACUUUUUGAAACUA
This is a long non-coding RNA of Salvia splendens (bonfire salvia), 635 nucleotides long. RefSeq lists it as uncharacterized. The transcript has 2 exons. The record is from RefSeq and is a predicted model, not a curated record. NCBI's taxonomy places the organism in Eukaryota, Viridiplantae, Streptophyta, Magnoliopsida, Lamiales, Lamiaceae.